AAUUGCAGAAUCCCGUGAACCAUCGAGUCUUUGAACGCAAGUUGCGCCCGAGGCCUCAUGGCCGAGGGCACGUCUGCCUGGGUGUCACGCAUCGUCGCCACCGAUCCCCUCGGCUCACGAGGGUGGGGGCGGAUACUGGCCUCCCGUGCGCUCCCGCUCGCGGUCGGCCCAAAAUCGAGUCCCGGGCGACGGUCGCCACGACGAGCGGUGGUUGAGAGACCCUCGAGAGCGGUCGUGCGCGUGCCUCGUCGCCCUUAGGGACCCUCCAGGACCCUCGAGCGUCGGCUUUUCUAGGACGCUCUCCUUGCGACCCCAGGUCAGGCGGGACUACCCGCUGAGUUUA
Molecule: ribosomal RNA, 343 nt
Filed under: Scolopia chinensis
Lineage: Eukaryota; Viridiplantae; Streptophyta; Magnoliopsida; Malpighiales; Salicaceae
Description: eukaryotic LSU rRNA
Rfam family: 5.8S ribosomal RNA (bases 1-87)
Source: RNAcentral